RNAcentral lists this ribosomal RNA (159 nucleotides) under Dothideomycetes sp. Its description in RNAcentral is "5.8S ribosomal RNA". The stretch from base 1 to 134 matches the Rfam family "5.8S ribosomal RNA", at positions 21 to 154 of the family's 154-position model. Rfam says of the family: 5.8S ribosomal RNA (5.8S rRNA) is a component of the large subunit of the eukaryotic ribosome. The record is from RNAcentral. Lineage: Eukaryota; Fungi; Ascomycota; Dothideomycetes.
UUGGUUCUGGCAUCGAUGAAGAACGCAGCGAAAUGCGAUAAGUAGUGUGAAUUGCAGAAUUCAGUGAAUCAUCGAAUCUUUGAACGCACAUUGCGCCCCUUGGUAUUCCAUGGGGCAUGCCUGUUCGAGCGUCAUUUGUACCUUCAAGCUCUGCUUGGU